ACAUUGGUGGUUCCACGGUAGUAUUCUUGCCUUCCAUGCAGGAAACCCAGGUUCGAUUCCCAGCCAAUGAA
RNAcentral lists this transfer RNA (71 nucleotides) under Loxodonta africana (African savanna elephant). It matches the Rfam family "tRNA". From Rfam's summary of the family: Transfer RNA (tRNA) molecules are approximately 80 nucleotides in length. Their secondary structure includes four short double-helical elements and three loops (D, anti-codon, and T loops). Lineage: Eukaryota; Metazoa; Chordata; Mammalia; Proboscidea; Elephantidae. The record is from Rfam by way of RNAcentral.